Molecule: small RNA, 724 nt
Filed under: Malus domestica (apple)
Lineage: Eukaryota; Viridiplantae; Streptophyta; Magnoliopsida; Rosales; Rosaceae
Description: sRNA MD03G0021600
Source: RNAcentral
GAACAAAGGUCGAACGGCGCUCCAGCGCUCCUCCCGUCCUCCGUCAAGCCCGUCCAGUUCGAACGCCGCUCCUCCGUCCACUUCAACGGCGCUCAUCCGGCCACACACACAGACGCAGGAAGAUGCGAGUCCGACACGAAUCGAGACCCAAAAUCCAGGUACUGAGUAGCACAAUUGGAGAUUUGUUUUAAUUUGCUCUGUGUGAAAGAAUUACAAUCAUUAGCAGAUGAUCAUAAUCCUGUAAAGCCGUUUGAUUGGAUUAGGAAGACCUUUUGAGUACUUAAGGUUUACGAGUUAAGUUUCCCAACUUCAAAUACUUGAUCAAAAUUAGUCCUUUGGCCACGAAGAGAGAAAAUGGCUUUGGUUGGAGAGGCUUUGCUCUUCGGUUCCAUCCAGGUGCUGUGCGACAAGAUUGCCUCCGGAGAGUUUGUGAACUUCUUCCGGCAAGAAGACUCAACCAUUCACUCGUGGACAAGCUAAAGGUGACGUUGAUGACCCUCCACGCAGUGCUCAACGAUGCAGAAGAGAAGCAGAUUGUCAACCCUGCUGUGGGGAUGUGGCUUGACGAGUCAAAGAUGCUGUGUUCGAUACCAAGGACUUGGUGGAUGAGAUGGAUAUUGAAGCUUUGCGUCGGCAGAUCAGACUAAGCACACCCAGGAAAAUGGGAUAGUGCUGUCGAAAUGAAGAGAAAGAGAAAGAUUAGAGUACUGAAGUAAAAAAUGGA